This 4028-nucleotide long non-coding RNA is filed under the name Arabidopsis lyrata. Its description in RNAcentral is "long non-coding RNA (ALYR_LNC001201)". Lineage: Eukaryota; Viridiplantae; Streptophyta; Magnoliopsida; Brassicales; Brassicaceae. The record is from RNAcentral.
UUGAAAGAAUCACAAAUAAGAACCAAAUUCCGCAAGGAUAAUAUAUUCCAAGAGGAUCAAAUCUCUCUCUCUCUCUAUCUUAAGAUUCCAUUCCAAUCUUCAAACCUACUCCAAUUAUUAAAAAAAAAACAUUCUAUGAGAAUUACUGAAUUCUGUUUUAACAGCAUCUGUUACUGUUGUCUCCAUCGAAUUACUAUGCCUUACGCAACUGAAUUGAAAAGUUAGGUAACGGUCUGAUGAGUGUUCGAGCAAGUGAGACACAAAACCUACCGAAGAAAAAUAGCGCAUUAAAUAUUCGAAUUAAUUAAGACAACUUCGUUAAAGUAAGAUAAUAUUAUUAACUCUUAGAUUCAUCAACAUCUGUAUACCUUCGAAAGCCUAACCUCUAUAUAUUGGCAUUUUCCACAAAACAAUUCUUAUGUGAUAAUUUGACACAAAACAAUAUUCUUCUAUAUUUGUAUACCUCAUGUAACUAUAAACCAAUAUUAUUUUCUAUUGAUAAAAAAAGAGUCGGGAUAGCUAGGCAUUUGAUUUAUGUUGAAUAACUAAGUUAGCUGAAGUAAAUUAAAAGAAUAAAUAUCCUAUAUUUGCUUUCUUUCUAGUUCAUAUAUAUACAUAUUCGAUAUUAGUGGUGGUAGAGGCAUAUAGUUGCGAUUUCUUGUACUUGCAAGCAAUCCCAAUCAACUUAGUGAUUAUCGAUUGAGUGAAAUUAAGUAACAACUUUAUUAUCAUCUUUUAAUUUUUUUAAGGAUUGUUUUCAUGUUCCGUAUGCCACAAGGAAAGAUAAAGAAUAUUUUUCCCGACACAAAGAGAGAAAUUUCCAUUUGGAUUCUUCGUACGGCAUUAUUGCUAUUAGUCAUUAGAUAUAGUGGAUAGUGGAUUUGUUCAAAUGUUUUGUUCUGUUUUCCCCACAAGUUACUCUUUGACUCUGAUUAUAUAGGGAUAAAAGAUAUUAAAUUAGUACCGGUGUAGCACAAAUUUUUGUAUACAGAACAUUUUGAACUAUAUAUAAUCUAAUACUCUAUCAAGUAUCAACCAUAACAAAUAUGAUACUACAAUCAAAUAAAAGAGAAUAACCAUGAAUGGCGCAUACAUUCAUGUGAUUUAAAAUACAUUUAAUUAAUUUGAUUUUAAACCAAAUACAUAUUAAUUGUCUAAUUGGUAACGAUACAGUGAAGAACUAAUUAUAAAUUUUCUGAAAAAUUCUACUGGAACAACAUCGAAUUAAACAUGAUGUUAAUAAAUUACUUAGCAAAACAUAAAAGUGGGGUGUUCUAUUUGUUCCAGAAAUAAAAUACCAUUCUAUUUAUGUAAAGUUAUGAAAAGAUAAAUGACUUUAGAAAAGAAAAAGAAAAACAGAUGAUAAAUGACUUGUUUUUGGAACCAAGAAAAAAUAGGAAAUCUGAUAGAUCAACAGUGACUUUUUUUGUUAAGUUACUUGUCUUAAUCCCAAACUUAUACAAACAUUCACUUAAAACUUAAUAAUUUUAAAUUUUGUGGUUAUUCAACCUAUUUUCAUUAUUUAAUUAUAUUAUUUGAAAAUUAAAAAAAAAAUGGUUGAUGAUUUGAAAUACAAGAUGGUGAGAACUUAUUUUGCUUAUAAAUAUGUAUAUAUAUGAUUAGAGAUAAGUGGUACGAUAAAGAGUGAUAUACAAUACGAUAGUAGUCCGAUAAUGAGAUUUGACUUUCAUCUCUACUUUCCCCUAGUUCACAGUCACAAUGACGAUCCUGGUUGUGACAUAUCGAUGUAUCAUGUAUAAUGUAUAUAUAUGUGUACAAUAAGCAAAGUGCAUCUCAAAAUUACCUUUUUUUUUUUUUUUUGCAAUUUCAGUAAUAAUAUUCAAAAGAAAAGAAAUAUACACAUCAUGAAAAAAUGAUUAAAGAAAAGAGGAGAAAAUAAAGAAGGAAGAGAAGGUGGAAAGAGUCGUAUAAUGCUGACUUGUGUUUCGUGAGAUUCAAAUUUGUAUAAAAUUCCAAAUGGGCUGCGACUUGGAAGACGUGGGAGACCCACACACUUUCACAAAUCUUCCAUUACCCACACGCCUUUUUCUUACUUAUAUCGCAUGGUUAUGUCUUAUGUGUCACUUCCACCAACCACAUUCAAUAUGUAUGUAUAUCCAUCUUAGAUUUAUUGUCUUAAUGUUAGACUAAAUAAAACUAAUAAAGGAACUCUAGCUAGCUAGUAGUUAGUUGUAAGAGAAUAUAAUUUGUCCAUUAACUAGACUCGUUUAACCCAAGUGCGAUUGGCUAUGAACUAGUUAGAGGAGUGCUUUUAUAGAGCUACCAGACCGAGUUGGCGAGUUCGAGUCUGAGGUAGACUGGUAUGAAUGUCUGAUCAAAAAAAAAAUAAUAAUAAUAAUAAUAAUUGCAUGCAUGUCAAUAAGACAAUAAGUGAAUGUGGUUAUAGUGUUAUACUCAAAUGCUAAAUGCAUACACAAACGUAAACAUUAGUAUAGACAUAAACGCUGAAAGCGCUAAAUGUAAGCAUGCAUAUUACUUUGUCAACUCAAUUCAAUAAGACUUGAUCCAACCGAUCCAAAUCUAAACUUGAUAUAAAAGCUAAUGAAUAUAUUGACCCAAACUAGUGUAAAUAGCCAAACAUAAUUGAGAACACAAAAAAAGACAGCGCAUAAAAUGAGAUUUAAUACUAAGAACAUUUUCACAAGAAACACUAAAGUGCAUCAUCAUUUAUCAAAAAAUUAGAGCUAUAUAUAUAUAUCCUGAAAUCCAAUUCUUUUCUUUUUUCUCUCCCAACCACCACACCAUAAUUAAACUACAUAAAACAAGAAUGAACCUAGUUGGGUAAGCAAACUCAAAUAAACCCAAAUUGCAAGAGAAUCUAUUUAUAAUUUAUUCGUCAAUAUAGUUUUAUUUGGGUUUAGAGUCAGAAUCUCUUUAUGGCUCUUGCCCGUUCCCAUAAGUCCUAUUACAAAGCACUUAAAGAAGAGGGUGACGUCAGUCCCCAAAGACAUGUUGCCUAGACUCUAAGCAAAAACUUGAGAUGUGACUCUUCCCUUAUUCAUUUCUUGAUGACAACACAAACCUAAACCCCUUAAUUACUUAAUUAAGACCCCAAGUGUCUAUUUUGAUCACCAGUCGGAUACAAAAUCAAAACGUUAAGAAGAAAACUUUGAAGUUGGUAAUUCAACCAGUUAAAUCUAUCGUGGGAGGUAGGCCAAGUUAAGCCAAAAACCAACCAAUCAAAAAGAGAACAAAAUUACAUGCUUUGAUCUCCAGUCCAAAACAUUUUGUCGGUAAGAUUCAGAAUCUCUUGGUUAGUAAAAUAUAGAUAAAAACACGCGAAAAAGAUAGUGUUUGAUAUUUUGUGUAGAGGUUGCGUGCGAAGAAGCAAAACCCCUUGUGAGGGAGUGACUUGAGGAUCAGCUUCAGCUUUCUGAGACAUAAUGACAAAUAACAAAUGGGUUUGAUAUAGGAGUAGUUUUACUUACAUCACAUGUUUAGCUUUCCUCUUGUGGUCCUCUUUCUUUCCUCCAAUCUCCAAGCAAAAUCCUACACAUCUCUUGAAAAUUUUGUAAAACCAUGGACCCCAUUAAAGAUUCAGUUGUAUCUUCCUUAAUUGACUCUUUUUUGAGGCAUGAUUAGACUUUUAUAGCGAAGAACUUAUCACAAAACUUCAUCAAAGCCUUAAAAUUCUUGCUAUAGAUAGACAUCUAAAAAAAUGGUCCCAAAUAACCUAACAAAGCCACUUCACACGCUGAAGAGGCAACUCUCACUGUUACCAGAUUCCAACAAAACAGAAGAGGCUUCUGUGAUUAGAAGCAAUUUGAACAUUUAAACAACAGACAAGGCAUAUGCUUGGUGACAACUACAGUUGCACACCUGUAUUGCACUAAAAUUUAUCUGCCUUUUUACCUUUGCACGCAACUCCCUAUUCACCAGUCUAUCAAACUCCAAAAAAACAAAAAAAAUCAAACUUCAUCAAGUUGCUGAGGGAUUAUGAACAUGACUUGAUGUUACCCUUAAUCAAAGACUCACAGGAGAAGUGUAAUACUUUUGUAAGGCCCUGC